RNAcentral lists this long non-coding RNA (5367 nucleotides) under Solanum lycopersicum (tomato). RNAcentral describes it as "long non-coding RNA (SLYC_LNC000684)". The record is from RNAcentral. Lineage: Eukaryota; Viridiplantae; Streptophyta; Magnoliopsida; Solanales; Solanaceae.
UAAUAAAAAAUAGGAAGAACCUUAUCGCUAGAGAGAAAGAAGAUUGAUUUAAUUGAGUAGGACCAUUAACAAAAAUAAGUUUCAUUCAUGUACCAGCUCUUUUUAAAAAAUAAAUAAAUAAAUGAAUGUUUCUUUUCUUUUUCUUUUUCUUUUUAAUGAAUUUUCGGGCAGAGUUAUUGUAUUUGAGGAUUGAGGGUGGGUCUAGCUUUGUCCUAUGUUACCUAAGCAUUAGUGUAACAUUUUAAUAUUAAUAAAAAUAUUAGAUGUCACAUUAUGUAUCAUUGCUAUGUUUAUUGAUGACUUAAGUCAUCGUUUGCUCCUCAAAGAUGUUCACAUGAUUCACUUAGACACCUCAAUUAAGACUUGUAUCUAUUAAACACUUAAAUUGUUCAAAACAUGUACCUAUUAGACACAAAAUGCUGAUAUGCUGAAAAAUGUGUACUGCACUUUCCUGAAGCGUGUAAAAAAACUUAAAACAAUGUCUAUUUUUUUUUUACAUUUUUUCUUCUUUUAUUGACACUUGGCAUUAUAAUAAACUUAAUUUUUUUCUUCUUCUUCUAUUUACACUUUUUUCAAAAGAGGAAAGCACCCCAUUCCCUACCUAUCAUAUUCUUCAUAAUUUAGUUUAAAAUUUUUUCUUCAUUUUAGCUCCAACAUUGUUUUUUUUUCUUUUUUUUAUAUACAAAAAAUUUAUAUCUUCCAAAUAUGAAGAUAAAUGAAAAUCAAUUAUGAAGAUUCUGAUUUGAAAGAAAGUCUUCGUAUGAUUUAUUUCAAAUCUCAUAAAAAUAAGGAACAAAUAUGAAGAAGAUAAAAGAAGAUAAAAUGAUUUUUACGUGUAAAAAAAGUUAGCCGAUAUUUAUUUAUCACAAUUUUUUAACAAAGAACUUUACUCAAAUUCAUAUGCAUUCAUUAAAUUUAUCAAAAAUGAUAUCAAAAAAUUUGAAAGAAAUAAUUUUGAAGCUAUCAAUUUCAUUUUAUCAUCGAUGUAGAGUUGAAUAAUUGCCAACAAAAUUUUUCUUUCUUCUUCAUUCUUAGUAUGAAAUAUAUAUAUAUAUAUAUAUAUAUAUAUAUAUAUAUAUAUAUAUAUAUAUAUAUAUAUUUCUAUUAUAUAGAAGAGCCAUGAGAAGGACGAUCAAUGACAUUUUAGUAAUUUUAACAUCAUUUAAGGGCAAAAUAAUCAUUGUGUAAUUAAUGGUCAAAAUGAAAAAUCUAGAAGAAUCCAUACAUUCUUAAUUUUUGUUAUGGGCCCAUAAGGAUAUUAUUGUAAUUUUGUUAAAAUGAAGAGUCUCUAUUAAUUAACUUCUUGCAAACAAUAAUGAAUGUUAAGCUUGUUUUACAUAUUUUUGAAAGAAAUUUUGAACUAAUUAAAAUAAAAUGUGUUUGAAUAGUUAAUAUUUUGUUCCUAAAAAUACUUUAAAGGAUUAUUGCGUAAGAUAUUUUGAAUGUUAUGUUACAUAAUAUGACCAUUAAAUUUGUAUCUUGAUUAUAUUAAAAUAGGUUUUUGUAUUAUAUAGAAGAACCACGAGAAGGACGACCAAUGACAUUUUAGUAAUUUUAACAUCAUUUAGGGGCAAAAUAAUAAUUGUGUAAUUAAUUGUCAAAAUGAAAAAUCUAGAAAAAUUUAUAUACGUCUUAAUUUUUAUUAUGGGCCCAUAAGGAUAUUAUUGUAAUUUUGUUAAAAUGAAGAGUUUCUAUUAAUUAAAUUUUUACAAAUAAUAAUUAAAUGUUAAGCCUGUUUUUACAUAUUUUUGAAAGAAAAUUUUGAACUAACUAAAAUAAAUAUGUUUGAAUAGUUAAUAUUUUGUUCUUAAAAAUACUUUAAAGGGUUAUUGCAUAAAGAUAUUUUGAAUAUUAUGUUACAUAAUAUGACCAAUAAAUUCUUAUCUUGAUUAUAUUAAAAUAGUCUUUUAAAUGACGUAUCAUUAUUUUUUAAUUAAUUUGAAGAAAAUAUCAAAUUUCGUGACUAAAAUAAUGAACAAUGUCUAACUAUCAAGAAAUCAAUAAUUUGAUAAUGUAUUCAUUGAAAGAUUAAAAUAUAUAAAAUUUUCAUUUCUAUAUUUUCUUAAUAUCAUAUAUGAUAAAUUAUUUAACGGAAAAAAUUUGACAAGGAAAACGUUAAUCUAUAUUUAAAUUCUUAUGAAUAUUAAAAUUAAACUAAAGAAAAAUGAGUAGUUGAAAAAAAACAAUAAAAGAAAAUGUCGAUAGAAAAAAACUUUGUUGAGAAAUAUAGAGGAAGGAAAAAACUAAUAGAUAAAUAAAUUAGGAAAAAACAAUCGUAAAAAAAUAUAUUGGUUAUUUUGUGGGGGUAAGAUUUAGAGUUUUUUUUACGACAUAAUAUUAGGACCGUAAUAUUUAUUAAUGAUUAAUGUAAUUUAAAAUUUAACAUUACGACAAUUAUUAUUGUAUAUAGAAAUAAAGUUUCUUUCAUGAUCGUUUUUACUGUUGUGGAGUUAAAAAUUACUUUUUUAACAAAUACUUUCAAUAUUUAGAAUAUAACAUUACAAUAAUUGUUAUUGUAUAUAGAAAUAAAGUUACUUUAUUGAUUGUUUUUAUUGUUGUAAAGUAAGAAAUAAUUUUUUUUAGUAUUUCUAUUUAUCGAAGACAAUAACAAAAUGUAUCACAAAAUUCAUCGAGAAAACCACUUACAAACACAGUAUACUUAAGUUGAAGCAAUAGGGAUUUGAAAGACUUUAAAUCGAUCUUUACGAAUUGAUUGUUCAAUGAUUAAUAUUUUAUCAUAUGCAAAACUUAUGGUGCAAAGAUUACAAAACAAAGAUAAUAAUAUUUUGUGGAAAAUAAGUACCACUUGUAAAUAUAUAUGAAGAUCGGUGAACUUUUCAAAGACAUCAGCAUUUUAUAUAUUCCUCGCAACGAAAUGUUUUAACUCAUAAUCUAACACAAUUCUUUAUUUUCUUGCUGCAUAGAAUUUUUUUAGAAUUCAUUUUUUUUCAAUUUAUGUUGAUAAACGACACAUUUAUGUCGUAUGACCAUUUGAAAUAGAUUAUAAAUUAAUAUAUUCAAGUUGUUUACUAAAGUAAAUGUAACGACCUGUUUAGUCGUUUUGAGCAACAGACUUCAAUUCUGGAAAAACAGGCUGAGGCGACGAACCCAACGACGGACCGUCAUGGGCACGACGGACUGUCGCAGGGUCUCGUUUCAAAACACUUAGAAAAUCUGAAAUUGGGUACUAAAAAUCGACUCUCUGAACUUCGUGACGGAAUGGCAGGACGGACCGUCACAGGCGUGACGGACCGUCAUAGAUUGUUCAGUGGAAAUUGACUCUCUGACCCUUGCGACGACCUGCAGGACGGACCGUCGCAGGCACGACGGCCCGUCACAGCUUGCGUAAUCCCAGUUGGAGUCGGAUUUCUGGUUAAGUUUUAAGGGACGUUUUUGACUAUUCUUGCCUUAAUUAUAAAGUUCGUGGGUUUAUAUUAAUAACUCAAAUUCUUGGGGGAUAAAAGAGGUAACCCUAAGUUAAUUAGUGGGUUAUUAUUGCCAUCUUUUAUUCUUAAUUAUAUACUAAUUAGGGUAAAAGAAAGAGGGUUUGAAUAAGAAAAUAGAAAGAACAAGAAGGGAGAGAGAGAGAAACGAUCGAGAAGAAGAGGAAAACACCAAGCUUUGAGGAUUAACUUGCUUGAUUUCAAUUCUUCGGUGGAGGUAGGUUAUGGUUUUCAUGUUUCAUAAGUAAACUCUUAAUAGUGAAUGAUAUGUAUUGGUAGUAUUGUAAACCCUACUAUAUGCUUAAUGGUAUGUUUGCAUGAAUAUGAUUAUGUGAUUGUGAUAAGAUAAGCAUGAUGAAAAUAUUGAAUCCCAAAUCUUGAAAAGAAACUUUAAUAUACAUUAUUAAUGAUGAUGCCUUGGUAUAGAAGAAGGCUUGAUGAAUUAAAGUAAUGGGAUUGAUGAUGCCUUGGAAUAGAGAAGGCUUGAUGAUUUACAGAAUGAUAUUAGUGGAUCGGAGUGUCACGUUCCGACACAUAGUAUUAGGGGAUCGGAGUGUCACGUUCCGACACAUAGUAUUAGUGGAUCGGAGUGUCACGUUCCGACACAUAGAAUUAGGGGAUCGGAGUGUCACGUACCGACACAUGUAGGGGAUCGGAGUGUCACGUUCCGACACAUAGUAGUAGGGGAUCGGAGUGUCACGUACCGACACAUGUAGGGGAUCGGAGUGUCACGUUCCGACACAUGUUGGGGAUCGGAGUGUCACGUUCCGACACAUAGAAUUAGGGGAUCGGAGUGUCACGUUCCGACACAUAGAAUUAGGGGAUCGGAGUGUCAUGUACCGACACAUAGUAGUAGGGGAUCGGAGUGUCACGUACCGACACAAGAGGAGGAAAGAUAAUGAAUCUUGAAAGAUGAUAAUAUACUCAACUUAAUAUACUUAAUUCCCAAAUGAGUAUGGUGUUGAGGCUUGAGCCCUCAUGGAUGAACUUGAUGGUACUUAUUGAUGAUUAUAGUACUUGUUGUUGCUACAUGUUGAGUUUUAUAGUUGAUUUACGAUAAUAUUUGAUAUAUACUGUUCCCUAUUUUGAGUUGGCCGAUGAUAUCUACUCAGUACCCGUGUUUUGUACUGACCCCUACUUUUAUGUUUUUCUUCUUGUUAUUUGUGGAGUGCAGCAAACGUGCCGUCAUCUUCGACUCAACAGUAACUCAAGCCAGUCUUCGUCACACCGGAUCUUCAGGGUGAGCUAACGCUUCUAGCUUGGACUGGAUCUUCUCCUUCAUGUCUUGAUGCCUUGAACUUCCGGCAUGGACUAGCUUCUUAUGUAUUUUUAGCUUCUUAGAAACUCUUAGAAUUAGUAGUUUAAAGUAGAUGUUCUUGUGAUGAUGACUUCCAGGUUUUGGGAAUAAUAGAUGUUGAAUAUUGAUAGUUAUUGAAUUGGUUUUUAUUAAUGAGUUUAAGUCUUCCGCAUUACUUUCUGUUUAUAUUAUAUUGAAAUGUUAAGGUUUAGAUUGGUUGGUUCGCUCACAUAGGAGGGUAAGUGUAGGUGCCAGUCACGGCCCGGAUUUGGGUCGUGACAGUAAAAAAUAGUAUUAAGUACAAAAAUCUCAUGUCUUUGGAGGUUAAUUACAUUAUAUCUGGGAAGUUUUUUCAAUUACAAAAACAAUGAAUUUUUCAUUACUCUCAAAUAUGUUCCUUCGUUGUCCAAUACAUUGCAUAUGACAUAUUACUUUGGGGGAGGGAUGUAUUUAAGAGGGGCUUUGUAUGUAUCCGAGUAAAAAUAGAUGUAUUCAAGAGAAAAUAGGGAAAUAACCAAGAGAGGAUUAUAAUAUCUUAAGUUGUGAAUUUAUAUAAUCUUUUCAACAAAAUAUGUGAAAUUAUAUUGGGCACGUAUCACGGGCCUUAAAUUAUCUAGUGUGUGUGUG